Long non-coding RNA from Cryptotermes secundus, 455 nucleotides. RefSeq lists it as uncharacterized. Lineage: Eukaryota; Metazoa; Arthropoda; Insecta; Blattodea; Kalotermitidae. The record is from RefSeq and is a predicted model, not a curated record. The transcript is spliced from 4 exons.
UCCAUCGAUCAUCAUUCUAAUUGAUAUCCAAAAUGGCAGUGAGGUAACGAGUGCUUGUUGUCAUAAAUUUAAAACAGAACUCAGAUCAGCACAAAAAAUUAUUGCACUGUUACAAGAAGAGAUAAACACGCCCAAUCGUACUCGCCAGAAGAGAUACUGUCCAACAUCAAGAUUGAGCCCGAUGACAGCGAACUGGAGCUACAGGUAGCCCUCAAGAAAGCACGGAGACUGAAGCUGCAGGAGGCUGUUACAGAAUCAAAGAACAGUGUAGAAAAGGUGGCAGAGUCAGUACUGGAGAGAAGCUCAGAAGGAAACACGGAAGGCGGUUCCAUUGUGCUGAAUGCUACCGCAGAAUUCUGCCAUGCGUUGGGUGACAUCCCCCUUUAUGGUCUGGCUGGCAACGGAUGAGGACGCUCAGGAACUAGACUUUGAGAGGGAAAUGAUUGAAGAGAAGA